This 1506-nucleotide ribosomal RNA is filed under the name uncultured bacterium. RNAcentral's name for it is "bacterial SSU rRNA". It matches the Rfam family "Bacterial small subunit ribosomal RNA". The record is from RNAcentral.
AGAGUUUGAUCCUGGCUCAGAACGAACGCUGGCGGCGUGGCUAAGACAUGCAAGUCGAACGAGCUAUCCAAUUGAGUAAUCGAGAGGGUAGUUAGUGGCGAAAGGGUUAGUAACAGACAGGUAACGUACCCAGUGCUCCGGGAUAGCGUCCCGAAAGGGGCAUUAAUACCGGAUAAUAUCACCGGUUAUCAAGACCGGUGCUCAAAGAUUUAUCGGCGCUGGAGCGGCCUAUCUCCUAUCAGCUUGUUGGUGAGGUAAUGGCCCACCAAGGCGAUGACGGGUAGCGGGACUGAGAGGUUGGCCCGCAACAUCGGGACUGAGACACUGCCCGGACCUCCACGGAGGGCUGCAGUAACGAAUAUUGGGCAAUGGGCGAAAGCCUGACCCAGCGACGCCGCGUGUGGGAGGAAGUCCCUCGGGAUGUAAACCACUGUCAGGGGCUAGAAAGUCCGCCUUCGGGCGGAUUGAUCAGCCCCAGAGGAAGUCACGGCUAACUUCGUGCCAGCAGCCGCGGUAAGACGAAGGUGGCUAGCGUUGUUCGGUGUCACUGGGCUUAAAGGGUGUGUAGGCGGUUCGCAAAGCGCCUUGUGAAAUCCCUCGGCUUAACCGAGGAAUUGCUUGGUGAACUGGCGAACUUGAGGCAGGUAGGGGUCAGUGGAACUGUUGGUGGAGCGGUGGAAUGCGUAGAUAUCAACAGGAACGCCGGUGGAGAAAUCGGCUGACUGGGCCUGCCCUGACGCUGAGACACGAAAGCGUGGGGAGCAAACGGGAUUAGAUACCCCGGUAGUCCACGCUGUAAACGAUGUCUACUAGGUUGUGGAGGUUCUGACGCCGUCACGGCCGAAGCAAAAGUGUUAAGUAGACCGCCUGGGGAGUACGGCCGCAAGGCUAAAACUCAAAGGAAUUGACGGGGGCUCACACAAGCGGUGGAGCAUGUGGAUCAAUUCGAAGCAACGCGCAGAACCUUACCUGGGUUUGACAUGCUUGGAUGCCCGCCUGGAAACAGGUUGGGUUGCCCGCAAGGGUGAAACUUGCACAGGUGCUGCAUGGCUGUCGUCAGCUCGUGUCGUGAGAUGUCGGGUUAAGUCCUUUAACGAGCGAAACCCCUGCCGUUAGUUACCAUCGGGUCAUGCCGGGGACUCUAGCGGGACUGCCGGUGUUAAACCGGAGGAAGGUGGGGAUGACGUCAAGUCCUCAUGGCCUUUAUACCCAGGGCCUCACACGUGCUACAAUGGUGAUUACAAAGCGACGCAAGACCGUAAGGUGGAGCAAAUCGCAAAAAGGUCACCCCAGUGCAGAUUGUGGGCUGGCAACUCGCCCACAUGAAGUCGGAAUCGCUAGUAAUCGUGAAUCAGCUACGUCACGGUGAAUGUGUUCCUGAGCCUUGUACACACCGCCCGUCAAGUCAUGGGAGUCGUAAGUACCCGAAACCAGCUUGCCAACCCGAAAGGGAGGCGACUGUCCACGGUAAGUGCGAUGACUGGGACUAAGUCGUAACAAGGUAAC